GUGAUCCGCCGACUUAGGGUUGCACCCUCGCAGCUUCACCCAAAUUCUUGGGCCUUUAUCCGGGGUUUUGUGAAAGUGUGUGCCUACCUCUAUCUCCCUUGUACAGUUUCUCUUUUCUUCUUUUUCUUUGAUGUAUAUACUUCUCGGACGGGGGCCGAGGCCAAAGAAAGGAGAGGGUGGGUAACCCUUCGAGGUACUCCAAGAAGGGGUAUCUUCAUUUCGUAUUCCCAAUCCUUUAAAGGCUUCAAGGAUGCCUACUUUAGGGUGGCAUCUCGCUCUGAGUCUCUUCCCUGGUUUGCCGACAAGUGACUGGAUGAAUGGGGCAUAUCAUCUCGGUUUGAAUUAUACUGGAUCGUAAUUGUCUCGUCCCAAGGUUCUAUUUCAAGUCCAACCACCCUGACCCUGAAUCUUCGCACCUUCACCGCACCGUUACCAACUGCUCUUCGUCGGCGCCGGCGCCGCUCACCACCGCCGAUCGCCACGGCGUCAAGGAUGACAUAUCGCUUAUUUUCCGCAGCGUCGCCAACUUCCUCGCUCCACCGCCAUCUUCUUCUUCUUCUUAUGCCGGCGAUUCCUCGUCUUCGCAAACUCUCACCGGAAUCCGGAACGAUCUCGUGGAGAUCGGCGGAAGCUUCAAGAGCUCGCUCUCCCUUCUCUCCUCGAACAAAGCCGUCACCGGAAUCUCGAAGAUCGCUUCUCAAUUGUUGCAGUUCGAGCGUUUUCAACAGCGUGUUGAUGGUGAUUAUGAUAUUUUUUUUUAUUAUCUGUUAAUUUUUCUGAUUAUGAUCCUCUCUUUUCUCAAUUGAAUCUGUAUAAUCUGAUUAUGAUAAAGUCUGUAAUUGCUUAAUUAGUUUAUUGUAGCUUGUCCUCUUAAUUUAACCCUUUUUUGAUCUCGUGAGUCAUGUUCGUUUGAAGUUGGUUUUUUUUUUUAAGUUUAUAAUUUCCUUUAAGGACAAAUUAGUUUUUUGUUAUGUUCAAAUUUGACCAGAAAUGCCGGGAGUGGUUUCUGUUUUUCCCAAUUCUAAAAGAAAGCUGCAUACCACUCAUUCAUGGGACUUCAUAGGACUUCUGGACGGAAAAACCAUGGAGAAUUGCAUCCAUGCUUACUGGUUAUCUCUUUGUUGUUGAAAUUUUUAUCCUUCUUUGUCACUUAUUUAUUAAAUAAAAAAAUAUUAAAAAAGUUCCCAAGGUUGAAUUUUGAAGGACUGAUCCUCUUUUCUUCAAAUUCUUUCUCAUUAAAAGCAAGGACUGUUAUUCAUUUCAUUAACCUAAGGGCAACAAAAAUUCUUUGGUAGGAACUUCCUGUCAUAAGUAUGGUAAUGGUACUGUUUUCACUUUUGAUACAUUUUACUUCAUAACAAAAGUUGGAUCACGGGGGUUUCAGCAUAUUAAUUAGCGGAUGGAGAUUUUCAUGUUUUUUAUUUAGACAGGUGUUAUCCCAAGUACAAUUAACUAUGCCCAAGUCUUUAAAAUCUAAAUACAAUAUCAAUAGUGAUUAUUGAAACAUCUCCAAAAAUUUUAGGAACAAUAAUAGGAAAAUUACAAAAGAUAUAAAUAUCAUUAGGAAAUAGCCCAUUGGAUCAUGAAGGAGAAUCUGCUUAGAAAGAAUGAAAGCCGUUAAUAGGAUUUAAAGGAUUGAGGCCUAAAGGAGUGAAAAUAGACCUAAGAAGAAUUAUGAGGAACCAAACUAAAUAAGACCAACAAGCCAACUAAUUUUUAUUUAACAACAAUUCUAAAAGCCUCUUUCAGAUCUCCAAGGGAUAGUUCUGGUCAUGGGAGCCAUACAGCUUCCACAGCAGCAGGACGCUACGUGGCAAACAUGAAUUAUAUGAGGCUGGCAGCUGGAGAAGCUAGGGGAGGUGCACCUAUGGCUAAAAUUGCUGUGUACAAAACAUGUUGGGAUUCUGGUUGCUAUGAUGUUGACUUACUAGCUGCCUUUGAUGAUGCAAUAAGAGAUGGGGUUCACAUUAUAUCAUUGUCUCUGGGUACUGAAGCUCCCCAAGGUGACUAUCGAAUAACAGCAUCACGGUUCUUAAUGUUAUCUCUCAUGAACUAAGCAAAAGAGUAAAUAUUUUAGACUUAGUUUUUAAUGGAUUAUUAUAUGUAUCACUACUCAAAUAAUAUAAUUUAAUAGUUUAUUUAUGUAUUGCUGAAAGAACCAAACAAAGAAAACCAUGUUCCAAGAUUGAUAAUGUGCUUCCUAAUGUAUUGUCAAUGCAUUCAGUAAGCUUGCUUCUUGAGGCAGUUUUGCUUAAAACCAAAAGUUCGUUGCUCGAGUUGAUAUGGAGGAAUUACUUUAGGUUUUCAUCAAUGAAAUAUGGGAAUUCAAUUUUCCAUUUAGGUAUGGAUUGGUUGAAGUCUUUGAUACCUCUGGCAUUUUAUAGAGUUAUGGUUUAUAAAUUCUGCUGUUUUUAUUAUGGGGUGUUAUCCAUAGAUAGCAGUUGUGAAGUGCAAGUCAGAUAAUGCAACUCUACAGAACUUUUUUUUUAUAAAAUCAAUUUGUUCAUAUUACAUUCUUAUAAUCAGUUUUUCUUUUCAGGUGGCCCAAGUCAGGUAAAUAUAUUUGGAUAACUAUGCUAAUCAACUAAUGCAUGACCGUGCAAGAGUGCAUGGAGAAGUAGGCCUGCAUUUUCCAAAUUAUUUAUCUUUAUUUUUUAAUUCAAAAUUUUUUAUUUUGAUAUCGAGUGUAAUCCUGUAAGCCAGUGUGUGCCCUGGAAACUACCAGGCUGUAGUAGUACUGCAAAGUGAAAUAACUAAUUGAGGCAUUGUAUAAUUUGUUAACAUGGCCAUGUUGAUCAAUAGUAUUAUUUGGGCCACUCAGAUUCUUUUGCUAGUUGGAGAUUUGUUGUUUGUAUUUGUGUAUAUUAAUUAAGGAGUUAUGAUUGCCAGAGAGAAGUAUCUAUGUCAAACUAAUGAGAGAUGUUGAGAGGCCUACUCAGGUGGAAAAUUGCAAAUAGACCCAUCCAAGAUGUGUUGAGGCUUCAGAAAACCAGAGUACAGAUAUAUGAAAUAUGCAUUGCAAGCUUUUGUUCUUCUCUCAUUAGCAAAGCAGGGAGUCUUUCGAGGAUUUAAAGACACUAAAACUCCUUUAUAUGCCACUGGUAUGCCUUGACAAACUUAAAUUGUUAAUUAUCUAGUGUGACAAUAUCAUGUCCCUUUGGCGUGUCACAGGACAGGCUUUUUAACAAUGGCACCAAUAUUUUGCAAUAACUGUUGAGUAAUAAUUAAAAUUAUGAACUCCAUUGAGUUGUCAUAUGCCAUACACUUGAUAAGAUGAAAUUUUCCUUUACUCUUUAUACUCCCAUUAAGGAUCUUGCCAAAGGACUAUAAAAAAAACCAAAAUUUUGACAUAAUCUGUUCUUCCUGUGUCUUUGAAAUCAUUUAAACUAAUAAUGUUCUCUAGAAUCUUGUAUAAGGCUUUGUUCAACACUGCUUGCAUUCAUUGUCUUUGCAGAAUGCAAUGAAAAACAGCUCUCUUCAGAUGGCUGCUAUAGAGCAACAGAAAGCUGAUGAAAAUGUUUUGAAACUGGCUGGAGAUCAAAAGAAGCAAAAAGAACAACUCCAUGCUAAAAUCAUUCAGCUUGAAAAACAACUGGAUAUGAAACAAAAGCUGGAAUUGGAGAUUCAGCAACUAAAAGGAUCAUUAAAUGUGUUGAAACACAUAAAAGAUGGUGAAGAUGCAGAAAUAAGGGUUUAAGAGAAAAGGAACAGUCACUUCAAGACUUAGAUGCAUUGAACCAAACACUUGUCAUUAAAGAGCGUAAGAGUAAUGAUGAGCUGCAGGAAGCUCGAAAAGAAUUUAUUUGGAAGAGCAUCUGUUCUACGAGGUCUAGUUUUAUGGUUAUUUCACAUUUAGACUGUUUCACAUGUAAUAUUUUAAUGAUGAUUUUACUUGCCCGUUUGAAGUUUUAUAUGAAUUG
Gastrolobium bilobum is the source of this 3920-nucleotide RNA transcript. It is a transcript of the gene named protein INVOLVED IN DE NOVO 2-like, with no coding region annotated. The record is from RefSeq and is a predicted model, not a curated record. The transcript is spliced from 3 exons. NCBI's taxonomy places the organism in Eukaryota, Viridiplantae, Streptophyta, Magnoliopsida, Fabales, Fabaceae.